UUGCCUACGGGGGGCAGCAGUGGGGAAUAUUGCAAAAUGGGGGGAACCCUGAUGCGGCGACGCCGCGUGAGUGAAGAAGUAUUUCGGUACGUAAAGCUCUUUCAGCAGGGAAGAAAAAAGGACGGUACCUGAGUAAGAAGCCCCGGCUAACUACGUGCCAGCAGCCGCGGUAAUACGUAGGGGGCAAGCGUUCUCCGGAAUUACUGGGUGUAAAGGGAGCGUAGACGGCAAUGCAAGUCCGGCGUGGAAUGCGGCAGC
This 258-nucleotide ribosomal RNA is filed under the name uncultured bacterium. RNAcentral describes it as "partial 16S ribosomal RNA". It matches the Rfam family "Bacterial small subunit ribosomal RNA", at positions 335 to 608 of the family's 1533-position model. The record is from RNAcentral.